GACUUUGGAGACGCCCGCGAAUGCGGGGGCCGAAGGGGCAAGCGCGAAGGCGUGAAUCUCUCAGGCAAAAGGACAGAGUUG
RNAcentral lists this non-coding RNA (81 nucleotides) under pig gut metagenome. RNAcentral describes it as "Glycine riboswitch". It matches the Rfam family "Glycine riboswitch aptamer", at positions 8 to 87 of the family's 94-position model. Rfam says of the family: This family represents the bacterial glycine riboswitch. Glycine riboswitches usually consist of two metabolite-binding aptamers domains with similar structures in tandem. The record is from RNAcentral.